Molecule: long non-coding RNA, 1460 nt
Filed under: Homo sapiens (human)
Lineage: Eukaryota; Metazoa; Chordata; Mammalia; Primates; Hominidae
Description: HSALNT0083004
Source: RNAcentral
UAGAGCGUCUGGCUGACCCGUCAUUGUCCAGGGAAGCCAUGGAUCUGGUGGCCGCAGCCCAGCGCCGUCCUCACCACCCAGGCCUGCCUGGAGCCCAGUGGCUGUCAGGGCAGCCGAGACCAGAAGCGCAGACUUCGGCCUCUCUGAAGCUCCUCCAUUUCUGGCUGCUUUUCACUGCCGUCUGCCUGCCUGUGUUCUUGUCUUCACGCCGGCCUUUGGUACGGGAGGGAGCCAUCCACGGCCCACACUGCAGCUCCCGUGACCUCCGCACGGCCCCGUGCGGACACUCAUCUGGAUUUUGUUUGUGCUCAGGAGAGGCUCUGCAUUGAACGACCUUGCACUGGGCCGGUUUCUUUUCUAAAGGUUCCAGAGGGCAUGGCUGUCAACUUCCCGCUUGUGUCCCCGUCGGGUUCCAGGGCACAGAGGACUGCAGUGUGAGAAGGCAGCACCGCCCCGGCGCCCGCGAGGAAGCCGAACUGCUCAUAAGUUAAGCAGCCCCAGCCAGGUCACGGGGCAAGGAAGCCGCCUGCGACCUCGGAAACCCCUGGUUCAUCCCAUGACCCACCCCCGUUCAUCCGGUGACCCACCCCUCACCCCGGUUCAUCCCGUGACCCACCCCCCCGUUCAUCCCAUGACCCAGCCCCCCACCCCGGUUCAUCCCAUGACCCAGCCCCCCACCCCGGUUCAUCCCAUGACCCACCCCCCACCCCGGUUCAUCCCGUGACCCACCCCCCGUUCAUCCCAUGACCCAGCCCCCCACCCCGGUUUAUCCCGUGACCCACCCCCUGUUCAUCCCGUGACCCACCCCCCGUUCAUCCCGUGACCCAGCCCCCAACCCCGUUCAUCCCGUGACCCACCCCCAACCCCGGUUUAGCCCGUGACCCACCCCCCCCCCGUUCAUCCCGUGACCCACCCCCCGGUUCAUCCCGUGACCCAGCCCCCAACCCCGUUCAUCCCGUGACCCAGACCCCACCCUGGUUUAUCCCAUGACCCACCCACGGUUCAUCCUGUGACCCGCCCCCCGUUCAUCCCGUGACCCACCCCCCACCCCUGGUUUAUCCCGUGACCCACCCCCGGGUCAUCCUGUGACCCAGACCCCACCCUGGUUUAUCCCAUGACCCGCCCACGGUUCAUCCUGUGACCCGCCCCCCGUUCAUCCCGUGACCCAGCCCCCCACCCCUGGUUUAUCCCGUGACCCACCCCCGGGUCAUCCUGUGACCCAGACCCCACCCCUGGUUUAUCCCGUGACCCACCCUCGGGUCAUCCCGUGACCCAGACCCCACGCCUGGUUUAUCCCGUGACCCACCCGCAGCACCAGCACCUCAGUGCUGCUUUUGUAUUUAUAGUCGCCUUGCUGUAUGUUGAGCGUAAUUUUACAAUCUGCCCAAAAUUCCUUUGAAGAGCAGAUAGGUGUGUACACCCUAAAUGAAUAAAAUACAGUGCGAUUUGGUGAAAGGUAA